CCUACGGGAGGCAGCAGUGGGGAAUAUUGCGCAAUGGGCGCAAGCCUGACGCAGCGACGCCGCGUGAGGGAAGAAGGCCUUCGGAUCGUAAACUUCUUUCAGCAGCGAGGAACGGACACUGUUCUAUUCAGCAGGGGAUUGACGGUACCUGCAGAGGAAGCACCGGCUAACUCCGUGCCAGCAGCCGCGGUAAUACGGAGGGUGCGAGCGUUAAUCGGAAUUACUGGGCGUAAAGCGCACGUAGGCGGUGUCUCAAGUCAAGGGUGAAAUCCCCGCGCUUAACGUGGGAACUGCAUUUGAUACUGGGAAGCUGGAGUAUGUGAGAGGAUGGUAGAAUUCCAGGUGUAGGAGUGAAAUGCGUAGAGAUGUGGAGGAAAAUCAGUGGCGAAGGCGGCCAUCUGGCACUUAACUGACGCUGAGGAGCGAAAGCGUGGGGAGCAAACAGGAUUAGAUACCCUUGUAGUC
Molecule: ribosomal RNA, 465 nt
Filed under: uncultured bacterium
Lineage: Bacteria
Description: partial 16S ribosomal RNA
Rfam family: Bacterial small subunit ribosomal RNA
Source: RNAcentral